This 393-nucleotide ribosomal RNA is filed under the name uncultured bacterium. RNAcentral describes it as "partial 16S ribosomal RNA". It matches the Rfam family "Bacterial small subunit ribosomal RNA", at positions 523 to 918 of the family's 1533-position model. The record is from RNAcentral.
AUACGGAGGAUCCGAGCGUUAUCCGGAUUUAUUGGGUUUAAAGGGUGCGCAGGCGGGAUAUUAAGUCGGCGGUGAAAUUUUGCAGCUCAACUGUAAAAGUGCCUUCGAAACUGGUUUCCUUGAGUGUAGAUGAAGGAGGCGGAAUUUGUGGUGUAGCGGUGAAAUGCAUAGAUAUCACGAGGAACUCCGAUUGCGCAGGCAGCUUACUAAACUACUACUGACGCUCAGGCACGAAGGCGUGGGGAUCAAACAGGAUUAGAUACCCUGGUAGUCCACGCAGUAAACGAUGAUUACUAGCUGUUUGCGAUACAAUGUAAGCGGCUGAGCGAAAGCGUUAAGUAAUCCACCUGGGGAGUACGUUCGCAAGAAUGAAACUCAAAUGAAUUGACGGGG